RNAcentral lists this ribosomal RNA (253 nucleotides) under uncultured bacterium. Its description in RNAcentral is "partial 16S ribosomal RNA". It matches the Rfam family "Bacterial small subunit ribosomal RNA", at positions 524 to 776 of the family's 1533-position model. The record is from RNAcentral.
UACGUAGGCAGCGAGCGUUGUUCGGAGUUACUGGGCGUAAAGAGUGCGUAGGCGGUUUUCUAAGUUUGGUGUGAAAUCUCCCGGCUCAACUGGGAGGGUGCGCCGAAGACUGGAAGACUAGAGUGUGGGAGAGGUAAGCGGAAUUCCUGGUGUAGCGGUGAAAUGCGUAGAUAUCAGGAGGAACACCUGCGGUGUAGACGGCUUACUGGACCACCACUGACGCUGAGGCACGAAAGCGUGGGUAGCAAACAGG